UGUUCGAUUCCGGAGAGGGAGCCUGAGAAACGGCUGCCACAUCUAAGGAAGGCAGCAGGAGCGUAAAUUACCCAAUGUCGACUCGAUGAGCGUAGUGGCAAUACAUAACAAAGAGGGGAUUUAUUAUCUUACUCUAUUGCAAUGAGGCACGUUUAAUAACCUGUUCGAGCAACCAGUGAAGGGCAAGUCUGGUGCCAGCAGCCGCGGUAAUUCCAGCUUCACGAGUGUAUAUUUAAGUUGUUGCAGUUAAAAAGCUCGUAGUUGAACUUCUGUUCGUUCAGUAGAUGGUCAAACAUCGACUGGAUGAGCAUCCGCCUGAAAAAUCAUUCGGGUCUUCACUGAUUCAGUGAUGGAUCAGGCAUUUUACUUUGAAAAAAUUAGAGUGUUCAAAGCAGGCUAUCGCCUGAAUACAUUAGCAUGGAAUAAUAGAAUAGGACGCUGUUCAAUUUGUUGGUUAUUGAAUUGCGUAAUGAUUAAUAGGGACAGUUGGGGGCAUUUGUAUUUAAUUGUCAGAGGUGAAAUUCUUGGAUUUAUUAAAGACAAACUUAUGCGAAAGCAUUUGCCAAGGAUGUUUUCAUUAAUCAAGAACGAAAGUUAGAGGAUCAAAGACGAUCAGAUACCGUCCUAGUUUUAACUAUAAACUAUGCCGACUCGGUCUCCGUCGAGUAAUUUUACCUCGAUGGGUGCCGUAUGAGAAAUCAAAGUCUUUGGGUUCCGGGGGGAGUAUGGUCGCAAGGUUGAAACUUAAAGGAAUAGACGGAACAUCACUACCAGGUGUGGAUCCUGCGGCUUAAUUUGACCCAACACGGGGAAACUUACCAGCGCAAAGCAAGGGUGGGAUUGACAGAUUGAGAGCUCUUUCUUGAUUCUUUGGAUAGUGGUGCAUGGCCGUUCUUAGUUGGUGGAGUGAUUUGUCUGCUUAAUUGCGUUAACGAACGAGACCUCAACCUACUUACUAGACGUGCGAUUUCCCAUCGUGCGUUCUUCUUAGAGGGACUGUGCGGAGACAAACGCAAGGAAGUUUGAGGCAAUAACAGGUCUGUGAUGCCCUUAGAUGUGCUGGGCCGCACGCGGGAUACAAUGACCCGUUCAGAAAGUAUAGCCUGACCCGGAAGGGAGUGGGUAAUCUUUUUAAUGCGGGUCGUGCUAGGGAUCGAUCUUUGCAAUUAUAGAUCUUGAACGAGGAAUACCUAGUAAGUGCAAGUCAUCAGCUUGUACUGAUUACGUCCCUGGUGUUUGUACUCACCGCCCGUCGCUCCUACCAAUUUCGAAUGAUCCGGUGAACCUUUUGGAUUGGGAGCAAGCCUAAGAAGUUAAGUAAACCUUAUCAUUUAGAGGAAGGAGAAGUCGUAACAAGGUU
This 1360-nucleotide ribosomal RNA is filed under the name metagenome. RNAcentral describes it as "SSU rRNA". It matches the Rfam family "Eukaryotic small subunit ribosomal RNA", at positions 374 to 1801 of the family's 1831-position model. The record is from RNAcentral.